This 1283-nucleotide ribosomal RNA is filed under the name Proteus mirabilis. Its description in RNAcentral is "bacterial SSU rRNA". It matches the Rfam family "Bacterial small subunit ribosomal RNA", at positions 35 to 1352 of the family's 1533-position model. The record is from RNAcentral. Lineage: Bacteria; Pseudomonadati; Pseudomonadota; Gammaproteobacteria; Enterobacterales; Morganellaceae.
AAGAGUGGCGCAGCUACACAUGCAGUCGAGCGGUACAGGAGAAAGCUUGCUUUCUUGCUGACGAGCGGCGGAGGGUGAGUAAUGUAUGGGGAUCUGCCCGAUGAGGGGGAUAACUACUGGAAACGGUGGCUAAACCGCAAACGUCUACAGACCAAAGCAGGGGCUCUUCGGACCUUGCACUAUCGGAUGAACCCAUAUGGGAUUAGCUGUAGGUGGGGUAAAGGCUCACCUAGGCCACUAUCUCUAGCUGGUCUGAGAGGAUGAUCAGCCACACUGGGACUGAGACACGGCCCACACUCCCACGGGAGGCAGCAGUGGGGAAUAUUGCACAAUGGGCGCAGGCCUGAUGCAGCCCUGCCGCGUGUAUCAAGAACGCCUUAGGGUUGUAAAGUACUUUCAGCGGGGAGGAAGGUGAUAAGGUUAAUACCCUUAUCAAUUGACUUUACCCGCAAAAGAAGCACCGGCCAACUCCGUGCCAGCAGCCGCGGUUAUACGGAAGGUGCAAGCGUUAAUCGGAAUUACUGGGCGUAAAGCGCACGCAGGCUGUCAAUUAACUCAGAUGUGAAAGCCCCGAGCUUAACUUGGGAAUUGCAUCUGACACUGGUUGGCUAGAGUCUUGUAGAGAGGGGUAGAAUUCCGUGUGUAGCGUUAAAUGCGUAGAGAUGUGGAGGAAUACCGGUCGCGAAUGCCGCCCCCUGGACUAAGACAGACGCUUAAGUGCGAAAGCGUGGGGAGCACACAGGAUUAGAUACCCUGGUAGUCCACGCUCUACACUAUCUCCAUUUAGAGGUUGUGGUCUUGAAUCGUGGCUUCUGGAGCUCACGCGUUAAAUCGACUGCCGGGGAGUACGGCCGCAGGGUUAAACUCAAUGAUUUGACGGGGCCCGCACAAGCGGUGGAGCAUGUGGUUUAAUUCUAUGCACGCGAGAUCUUACCUACUCUCGACGUCCCGCGACCUUAGAGAUGAGAGUGCCUUCGGAACGCUCAGACGAGUGCUGCAUGACUGUCGUCAGCUCGUGUCGUGAAAUGUUGGGUUAAGUCCCGCACGAGCGCAACCAUCAUCCUUGUGCCGCAAGUGAUGGUGGGAACUCGGAGGAGACUGCCCGUCAUCACCGAGAAAGGUGGGGAGUGACGUUCAGUUCUCAUGGCCCUUACAGUAGGCUACACACCUGCUGCUAUGGGCCCAUACAAGAGAUGACUCCGGGACAAGCGCAAACUAAAGUCCUCUUAGUCGAAGUGGAAUUGCACCUGCGUCGGAAUCGAUCGCUGUUAUAUCCUCCAUAG